RNAcentral lists this ribosomal RNA (123 nucleotides) under Congolapia bilineata 'Lefini'. RNAcentral describes it as "partial 12S ribosomal RNA". Lineage: Eukaryota; Metazoa; Chordata; Actinopteri; Cichliformes; Cichlidae. The record is from RNAcentral.
CGCGCACACACCGCCCGUCACUCUCCCCAAGCCAAUCAGCACCCUAUAAAUAAUACCUUUCAUCGGUAAAGGGGAGGCAAGUCGUAACAUGGUAAGUGUACCGGAAGGUGCACUUGGAAAAAU